CUUUUACUAAAGCAUGUCGAUAUUUCUAGUCUCCCGGUGUCAUCAUACUUAUUCACUGACCUCUGUAUUUUGAGUAUUCUGUCCCUGCAAUAGGUUUAGAACCAUGGUCAUGCAUUUAUAAGUUACAAUAUUUGAGUUGUUUGUGUUGUUUUACAUGGUUGAUUAAGAGCUCUUGAGAAACUUGACAGUGCAUCGAAUUGCAAAGUGGAAAAUAACCGUAAAGUACAAGCUCCAUAUACAUGCUCCGCCCCGAUAAAGGUGUGUACAAAACAAGUCGUAAUACUAAAUAUUCAGAAAAUGUAACAUGUUUUUUGCUUGUUCUAACUGAUGUCUUGUUACGAGAUUCUUACAUUACGAGUAUGCAAAUCACUCGAAUCCUGAUUACACGACAACAAAGAAAGCUUCAGUAAGGUUCCAGUUGAUCAAUCAGCGAGAAGAUUUCUAGUUUGCAUUGUUUGCAAGCAGAUUGUCAAAUGUAUGUAAUCACAAUUUUUCC
Molecule: long non-coding RNA, 496 nt
Filed under: Olea europaea subsp. europaea
Lineage: Eukaryota; Viridiplantae; Streptophyta; Magnoliopsida; Lamiales; Oleaceae
Source: RNAcentral